RNAcentral lists this ribosomal RNA (468 nucleotides) under uncultured bacterium. Its description in RNAcentral is "partial 16S ribosomal RNA". It matches the Rfam family "Bacterial small subunit ribosomal RNA", at positions 28 to 507 of the family's 1533-position model. The record is from RNAcentral.
GACGAACGCUGGCGGCGUGCUUAACACAUGCAAGUCGAACGGAAAGGCCCUGCUUUUGUGGGGUGCUCGAGUGGCGAACGGGCGAGUAACACGUGAGUAACCUGCCCUUGACUUUGGGAUAACUUCAGGAAACUGGGGCUAAUACCGGAUAGGAGCUCCUGCUGCAUGGUGGGGGUUGGAAAGUUUCGGCGGUUGGGGAUGGACUCGCGGGUUAUCAGCUUGUUGGUGGGGUAGUGGCUUACCAAGGCUUUGACGGGUAGCCGGCCUGAGAGGGUGACCGGGCACAGUGGGAGUGAGAUACGGCCCGGACUCGUACGGGAGGCAGCAGUGGGGAUGAUUGCCCAAUGGGCGGAAGCCGGAUGCAGCAACGCCGCGUGCGGGAUGGCGGCCUUCGGGUUGUAGACCGCUUUCGCCUGUGCCGAAGCGUGAGUGACGGUAAUGGGUAAAGAAGCACCGGCUAACUACGUG